RNAcentral lists this non-coding RNA (88 nucleotides) under unclassified sequences. RNAcentral's name for it is "S15-Methanomicrobia ribosomal protein leader". It matches the Rfam family "S15-Methanomicrobia ribosomal protein leader". The record is from RNAcentral.
AGCACUUUUUAAAACAGGUGCUGACAGAUGUAAGUCCGACGUGCCCGUUUCGACGGCACGGCCUCAAAACAUCAGGCUUUGGGAUUAC